UACUGAGGUGGAUCAAUGAUGAA
RNAcentral lists this non-coding RNA (23 nucleotides) under Cricetulus griseus (Chinese hamster). The record is from RNAcentral. Lineage: Eukaryota; Metazoa; Chordata; Mammalia; Rodentia; Cricetidae.